Molecule: ribosomal RNA, 500 nt
Filed under: uncultured bacterium
Lineage: Bacteria
Description: partial 16S ribosomal RNA
Rfam family: Bacterial small subunit ribosomal RNA
Source: RNAcentral
AUUGAACGCUGGCGGCAGGCUUAACACAUGCAAGUCGAGCGGGGGAAGGUAGCUUGCUACCGGACCUAGCGGCGGACGGGUGAGUAAUGCUUAGGAAUCUGCCUAUUAGUGGGGGACAACAUCUCGAAAGGGAUGCUAAUACCGCAUACGUCCUACGGGAGAAAGCAGGGGAUCUUCGGACCUUGCGCUAAUAGAUGAGCCUAAGUCGGUUUAGCUAGUUGGUGGGGUAAAGGCCUACCAAGGCGACGAUCUGUAGCGGGUCUGAGAGGAUGAUCCGCCACACUGGAACUGAGACACGGCCCAAACUCCUACGGGAGGCAGCAGUGGGGAAUAUUGGACAAUGGGGGGAACCCUGAUCCAACCAUGCCGCGUGUGUGAAGAAGGCCUUAUGGUUGUAAAGCACUUUAAGCGAGGAGGAGGCUACUUAGUUAAUACCUAGAGAUAGUGGACGUUACUCGCAGAAUAAGCACCGGCUAACUCUGUGCCAGCAGCCGCCGCCG